This 303-nucleotide long non-coding RNA is filed under the name Elaeis guineensis (African oil palm). RNAcentral describes it as "long non-coding RNA (EGUI_LNC065033)". Lineage: Eukaryota; Viridiplantae; Streptophyta; Magnoliopsida; Arecales; Arecaceae. The record is from RNAcentral.
AGACUUCCUCCUAUCACGAUCGACUUUACUCUGAGCUUCUUUCGGACUUCAUCCAUGUCUGGGCUUCUCCAGCAGCAGGACUUCUAUAGUAACCAAACUCCAUCCAAGUUUCUACAGUGGUCGACCACCUUUCGAAUUUCAUCCGAGCUUCUACAGUAAGUGAAUUCCGUCCGAACUUCUAUUGCAAGCAGACUUCAACCGAGCUUCUAGAAUAAGCGGUCUCCAUUCGGGCUUCCAUGGCAACCGGUCUCCAUCCGAGCUUCUAAAGUAAGUGAAUUUCGUCUGAACUUCUAUUGCAAGUGG